AUGGCAAAAUAUUGGUGGAGUAGUUCGAUUGAUAAGCGGUCGCUCCACUGGAUCUCAUGGAAAAAACUGUCUACACCAAAGCAAGGGGGAAUGGGUUUUCGUGACCUUCAUAAUUUUAAUCUGUCCCUAUUAGGGAAACAAGGAUGGCGGCUCCUAACAAAUCCCAAUACUUUGUGUGCCAGAAUUUUGAAGGGAAGGUACUUCCCUGACACUGAUUUCAUGCAAGCUUCAGCUCCCAAAAAUUCAUCCGCAACUUGGAGAGCUAUUAUCUCCGGAAGGGAAGCGUUGCUAGCUGGUUUGAUCAAGAGAGUAGGAGAUGGGUCAACCAUUGCGGUCUGGGAUGAUCGAUGGACCCCGUCGACAACCACGAUGACUCCGCUAUUUCGACCACCGAACACAAAUGUUUCCCGGGUUGACGAACUGAUUGAUACUGAAACCUGGACGUGGAAGAGACAGCUGGUGCGAGACACUUUUAUUACACCAGAUGCGAAAGCUAUUUUGAACAUCCCGCUUCGCUCUGGAGGAGGUGAGGAUUUUUUUUUGCAUGGGCACACGAGGCCUCAGGCAACUACACCGUCAAAUCGGCGUAUCGAGCUCUAA
RNAcentral lists this ribosomal RNA (600 nucleotides) under Triticum aestivum (bread wheat). RNAcentral's name for it is "partial small subunit ribosomal RNA". The record is from RNAcentral. Lineage: Eukaryota; Viridiplantae; Streptophyta; Magnoliopsida; Poales; Poaceae.